This 404-nucleotide long non-coding RNA is filed under the name Zalophus californianus (California sea lion). Its description in RNAcentral is "lncRNA (ENSZCAG00015000494.1)". The record is from RNAcentral. Lineage: Eukaryota; Metazoa; Chordata; Mammalia; Carnivora; Otariidae.
GGGGAAUACUCUGAGGACAAUCUGUUCCUGGAAUCGACUUCAGCUGCUAAAUAGCCACAUCAUCAAGGAAGAGAAGAUGGCUUGUUAGUUUCAUGGUUAUUCUCAGUGGAGGCUCCAGAAAUAACUUGCUUGAUUUUUCUCCUUCUUCAGAGUAACAGGCUCGAAACAUGAAUGAGAAAUCAUUCAAUAUGACAUGCUUUACUGUCAAGAAGCCUAGAACAUGCUUGCUGGAAGGAACCAUGCUUUGUUCAUGGUCUCUCACCGGGCCUGACGCUGAAGUCUUUGCUCUUCUCCUUGCAACAAACUUUCCUCCUUUGACAGCAGAUCCAUGCUGGUUUGUUUGGUCAGCUUGUAUUUGGGCUAGUUCUGUGGGGCACGGCUCUUCUUCUAUUAGAUGCUUGUGA